UACGUAGGGGGCAAGCGUUGUCCGGAUUUAUUGGGCGUAAAGAGCGUGUAGGCGGCUAGAUAGGUCCGUUGUGAAAACUCGAGGCUCAACCUCGAGACGCCGAUGGAAACCAUCCAGCUAGAGUCCGGAAGAGGAGAGUGGAAUUCCCGGUGUAGCGGUGAAAUGCGCAGAUAUCGGGAAGAACACCGAUAGUGAAGACAGUUUACUAGGCUUCUACUGACGCUGAGGCACGAAAGUGUGGGGAUCAAACAGG
Molecule: ribosomal RNA, 253 nt
Filed under: uncultured bacterium
Lineage: Bacteria
Description: partial 16S ribosomal RNA
Rfam family: Bacterial small subunit ribosomal RNA
Source: RNAcentral